AAAUGAAUUGACGGGGGCCCGCACAAGCGGUGGAGCACGUGGUUUAAUUCGAUGAUAAGCGAAGAACCUUACCAGGACUUGACAUAGUGGUGCUAUUCGGUGAAAGCCGGAGUUCCCGUAAGGGACGCCAUUACAGGUGCUGCAUGGUUGUCGUCAGCUCGUGCCGUGAGGUGUUGGGUUAAGUCCCGCAACGAGCGCAACCCCUGUUCUUAGUUGCUACUCGCAAGAGAGCACUCUAAGGAGACUGCCGGCGACAAGUCGGAGGAAGGAGGGGAUGACGUCAAAUCAUCAUGGCCUUUAUGUCCUGGGCUACACACAUGCUACAAUGGUCACUACAACGGGAAGCGAAGCCGCGAGGUGGAGCCAAUCCUGAAAAGUGGCCUCAAUAUGGAUUGCAGUCUGCAACUCGACUGCAUGAAACCGGAAUCGCUAGUAAUCGCGGGUCAGCAACACCGCGGUGAAUACGUUCUCGGGCCUUGUACACACCGCCCGU
RNAcentral lists this ribosomal RNA (493 nucleotides) under uncultured bacterium. Its description in RNAcentral is "bacterial SSU rRNA". It matches the Rfam family "Bacterial small subunit ribosomal RNA", at positions 903 to 1397 of the family's 1533-position model. The record is from RNAcentral.